Molecule: ribosomal RNA, 229 nt
Filed under: uncultured bacterium
Lineage: Bacteria
Description: partial 16S ribosomal RNA
Rfam family: Bacterial small subunit ribosomal RNA
Source: RNAcentral
AUACGUAGGUGGCGAGCGUUGUUCGGAUUCAUUGGGCGUAAAGGGUCCGCAGGGGGUAGAUUAAGUCUGAUGUGAAAUCCCUGAGCUUAACUCAGGAACUGCAUUGGAGACUGGUCUACUAGAGUAUCGGAGAGGAGAUUGGAAUUCCAGGUGUAGCGGUGGAAUGCGUAGAUAUCUGGAAGAACACCGAAAGCGAAGGCAGAUCUCUGGACGAUUACUCGACCCUCGA